Coffea arabica (coffee) is the source of this 319-nucleotide non-coding RNA. The record is from RefSeq and is a predicted model, not a curated record. NCBI's taxonomy places the organism in Eukaryota, Viridiplantae, Streptophyta, Magnoliopsida, Gentianales, Rubiaceae.
AAUAGAAUGGUCCUCUGUCAAACCUGAAAAAAAAUUAGCUCUGCAACAAGACACGUUAGGAUCUAUGCAGCUUAUUUUGACCCUGAAACUAGUGAAUUUGAUCAAACACAGAUGGACAAACUUACUCUUAUUCUUGAUCCUACUGAUGAGUUCGUUUGGACUGAUGAUAUGUGUAAUCAGGUUUACUCUUAUUUCCAAGAACUUGUGGAUCAUUACGAGGCUCCUAGCCAUCACAAUUUGCAAGAUGCAGCAUUCAAGCACUAAGACUACUCAACAAAUCAAAGUUUUCACUGAAGGUCGGCAUUCUAAAAAAAACAAA